This 162-nucleotide ribosomal RNA is filed under the name Staphylococcus epidermidis. Its description in RNAcentral is "partial 16S ribosomal RNA". It matches the Rfam family "Bacterial small subunit ribosomal RNA", at positions 1 to 156 of the family's 1533-position model. The record is from RNAcentral. Lineage: Bacteria; Bacillati; Bacillota; Bacilli; Caryophanales; Staphylococcaceae.
UUUUAUGGAGAGUUUGAUCCUGGCUCAGGAUGAACGCUGGCGGCGUGCCUAAUACAUGCAAGUCGAGCGAACAGACGAGGAGCUUGCUCCUCUGACGUUAGCGGCGGACGGGUGAGUAACACGUGGAUAACCUACCUAUAAGACUGGGAUAACUUCGGGAAA